CACUGUUUGGACUAGGGGCCCUUCUCGGGUUACCGAAUUCAGAUAAACUCCGAAUGCCAUGUACUUAUACUCGGGAGUCAGACUGCGAGUGAUAAGAUCCGUAGUCGAAAGGGAAACAGCCCAGACCACCAGUUAAGGUCCCCAAAUAUAUGUUAAGUGGAAAAGGAUGUGGGGUUGCUUAGACAACCAGGAUGUUGGCUUAGAAGCAGCCACCAUUGAAAGAGUGCGUAAUAGCUCACUGGUCGAGUGACCCCGCGCCGAAAAUGUACCGGGGCUAAACAUAUUACCGAAACUGUGGAUGAACCUCUUUAGAGGUUCGUGGUAGGAGAGCGUUCUAAGGGCGGUGAAGUCAGACCGGAAGGACUGGUGGAGCGCUUAGAAGUGAGAAUGCCGGUAUGAGUAGCGAAAGAAGGGUGAGAAUCCCUUCCACCGAAUAUCUAAGGUUUCCUGAGGAAGGCUCGUCCGCUCAGGGUUAGUCGGGACCUAAGCCGAGGCCGAUAGGCGUAGGCGAUGGACAACAGGUAGAGAUUCCUGUACCAGUGCUAAUUGUUUAACCG
This 557-nucleotide ribosomal RNA is filed under the name Listeria innocua. Its description in RNAcentral is "partial 23S ribosomal RNA". It matches the Rfam family "Bacterial large subunit ribosomal RNA", at positions 908 to 1464 of the family's 2925-position model. The record is from RNAcentral. Lineage: Bacteria; Bacillati; Bacillota; Bacilli; Caryophanales; Listeriaceae.